Tachysurus fulvidraco (yellow catfish) is the source of this 475-nucleotide long non-coding RNA. RefSeq lists it as uncharacterized. NCBI's taxonomy places the organism in Eukaryota, Metazoa, Chordata, Actinopteri, Siluriformes, Bagridae. The record is from RefSeq and is a predicted model, not a curated record. The transcript is spliced from 3 exons.
UGAGUGAGGGCGUAAGAGGGGUAUAUGAAUGGUUGGGUGAUGAGCGUGUAAAUGAGAGUCAGGUGUGUGUCAUUAGUAAUCCGGCGAGCAGCUCCUUGCGGUCAGGCACGCACGGGGGAAGAGUCAGGGAGCUCCCUGACAGUUUCACGUUGUCACAUGCCAAGAAAACCCAAAAGAAGUCCUGGUUUCCUCUUUUCAUUUCCAUCAAAUGACCAGUUUUCUGCAUGACCCAGGAACCUUGGAAGAAUUUGCAGACCAAUUCCUAGCAGGGAACGUGAUGUAUGGAAAGUGGACACAUCAUGUAAAGAGCUGGAGAAACUUGGAUCUGGGUGACAGAAUUUUUUUCGUCACGUAUGAGGAGAUGAUUCAGGUAAAGUGUUUCCAUACAGAUGAUGCUAUAGAAUUAGAGGAAUUUGACUGGUUUUUACUUACAUGCUUUAUGUGAUCAAACAUUCUGGAUGUGAAAAACAGCACA